AAAAUGGUAGGGUGAAAAUAUAUGUGAAUACAAUUCUAUUAAUUUUUAAAUUAUUAUAAAGAGAAAUAAUAAAUUUGAAAAUUUAUUUAUGACCCUAUGCAUUAUUUUGGAGUUCUUCUAUUUUGAAAAUUUUUAGUAUUUUUUUUUUAGUUCUUUUAUCCUCAAAGUUUCCUGCUUUAUUUUCUUAUAUAGUUUUAAACAAAGCAUAAUACUCAUCAGUUCUUUUAGUUCUUCCAUUCGAUUUAGAUAUGAUGAUUUAAAUUUAAUCUCAUUAUUUU
This 278-nucleotide long non-coding RNA is filed under the name Lathyrus oleraceus (garden pea). Its description in RNAcentral is "Pisum sativum (pea) long non-coding RNA (PSAT_LNC022124)". The record is from RNAcentral. Lineage: Eukaryota; Viridiplantae; Streptophyta; Magnoliopsida; Fabales; Fabaceae.